Molecule: long non-coding RNA, 127 nt
Organism: Haliotis rubra (blacklip abalone)
Lineage: Eukaryota; Metazoa; Mollusca; Gastropoda; Lepetellida; Haliotidae
Exons: 3
Source: RefSeq, a predicted model, not a curated record
UGCACUGCACUAAGUGUAGGAAAGAUAGCCCAUCCCAACGUCCGAGACGGGUGAAUUUUGUGGAGGACGGGUUAAAAAAAAAUCUGGUCCGUCCUCAUGUCGGGUCAGUUUUAGCAAACCAAUGACA